Long non-coding RNA from Hyaena hyaena (striped hyena), 1114 nucleotides. RefSeq lists it as uncharacterized. NCBI's taxonomy places the organism in Eukaryota, Metazoa, Chordata, Mammalia, Carnivora, Hyaenidae. The record is from RefSeq and is a predicted model, not a curated record. The transcript is spliced from 3 exons.
ACUUCUCAUUUUUAAAUGAGUUCUCUAAAACUGUCCAAGUGGUAAGAGAGAGUAUCUGAGAAAAUCUGCUCAUCCUGACUAAGGAAAUUUCGGUUUGGAUAAUUUGAGGCCAAAUAAAUAAAGCAAACAACUUCUUUAAAAGGCCAUUAGAAGACUUCAUAACAUAAAAGAAUGAGGUACAGAAAAGAGAAUAUUUUAGGUCUCUGAUUGAGCUGCUGGAGCUGCCACUGAAGAAGACAGAUGGUGUGGCCAAUGGUGUGGCCAAUGCAGAGCAGUUUGAACCACCCUUGAGUGAAACUUGGACAAUGGGAAAUAAGAGGGAGAAAUAAAAAAAAGAAAAAAGAAAAAAAAAAAAAAAAGCACUGUCCAAAGGGAAUUACAGGCCCAAAUCUAGGAUGAAAUAGCCUACAAGGAAUUAGAGAACCUGACAAAUAUGGAAUGUCUACUACUUCUGAUAAUAGCUCUCUUAGGUCAGAUUCCCCAGAAACAGAGAUUGACAUAGACUUAAAUUGGUUAGGGUUUUUUGUUUUGUUUUUUUCCCUUCCUCUGGACAGAGAAGGGGAAGCAUAGUAGAGAACUGGAGAGAGCCCAGCAAGAAUGUGAUUCAGGCAAAGUCUAGACUUGGCCUGAUGCACAUAAAUCACCCCAUAGGGUGCCAGUCUUUUAUAAUACCUUGUCAGUCUUUGCUGUGGGCUAUACCCAAGGAAAGGAAGGGAAAAUAACCUUCUGUGGAAAGGCGAUCUCAUAAGCCAAGAGUGUCAUCUCAGAGAAGAGGGAUGUCUGUGACCUGAGCAAGCAACAUUAACCACAGAGAGUGAAUGAGUGGAUCUGCAAGACACACGGCAGUGCCUAGUACAGCAUCUUCUGGAGUUUCCUGAGCAUAUGGGAGAAUAUUUCAUCUCUGUGUAUUUUCUUUCGCUACUGUAAUUUCCACCGGGGAACAUGCACCAGUGUGGACGGAAAGAGUCAAUACUGCUGAAUUUUCAGUGCAGAAUCUCCUUGCGGCUAUCAUUUAUUAAAAUGUGACCAAGACUUCAGGAAUAAAUGCUUUAAUUUGGUUCUGUAUUUACCCAAAUAUCGCUCUAGACUUCAGAAAUAUUCAAAGUUGGAGAAA